Molecule: ribosomal RNA, 468 nt
Filed under: uncultured bacterium
Lineage: Bacteria
Description: partial 16S ribosomal RNA
Rfam family: Bacterial small subunit ribosomal RNA
Source: RNAcentral
GACGAACGCUGGCGGCGUGCUUAACACAUGCAAGUCGAACGGAAAGGCCCUGCUUUUGUGGGGUGCUCGAGUGGCGAACGGGUGAGUAACACGUGAGUAACCUGCCCUUGACUUUGGGAUAACUUCAGGAAACUGGGGCUAAUACCGGAUAGGAGCUCCUGCUGCAUGGUGGGGGUUGGAAAGUUUCGGCGGUUGGGGAUGGACUCGCGGCUUAUCAGCUUGUUGGUGGGGUAGUGGCUUACCAAGGCUUUGACGGGUAGCCGGCCUGAGAGGGUGACCGGCCACAUUGGGACUGAGGUACGGCCCAGACUCCUACGGGAGGCAGCAGUGGGGAAUAUUGCACAAUGGGCGGAAGCCUGAUGCAGCAACGCCGCGUGCGGGAUGAUGGCCUUCGGGUUGUAAACCGCUUUCGCCUGUGACGAAGCGUGAGUGACGGUAAUGGGUAAAGAAGCACCGGCUAACUACGUG